Gossypium arboreum is the source of this 614-nucleotide long non-coding RNA. RefSeq lists it as uncharacterized. NCBI's taxonomy places the organism in Eukaryota, Viridiplantae, Streptophyta, Magnoliopsida, Malvales, Malvaceae. The transcript is spliced from 2 exons. The record is from RefSeq and is a predicted model, not a curated record.
AUAUGUGACAUUGAGAUCCAUGGGCUACCCAUGAAAUCUCUUCCUUUUUCUCUCAAUCUCAGAGUUACGGCUUUAUAAGCCAAACCCCAUCUCUCACUUUUUUUAGUUUUCUCUUACAAAGAGAUUUCAACUUUCCCUCUCGUUAUAAUUUCCUCAAAAAAAUAUGGAGGAAAAAGAAAAGGUUCCAGAGAAAAAAGCAAUACACAACCUUCCACACGAUCAACCAGCACUGAUGGAUGGGAUUAUGAUGAUGAAGGUGAAGCAAGUACUGCUGAAGAAUGAAUUCCAAUUCGGUGCAGCUGCCACCUCCAUUGCCACUUGUUCAUCUUAAUUUGGUGCUAUCCUACCUGAGCUUCUUUUUUUAUUUUAAUUUCUUAGUAUUUUUUUCUUUCUUUUUUAAAUAUAAAAUAUUAAUCUUCUUGACCUUGUAAGACCUUUUCUUGACCUUGUAAGACCCAGUCCAGUAUUUCCAACUCUUCUUCUCCUUCCUUGUCUAUCCCUCCUGAGCUGUUUGUAACUUUGAAAUGGUCAAAUCAUAUGCCAAUUCCUUUUCUAGGUUUUCUUUAAUAUUCUUUUUGCAUAUCUUUGGGAAUGAAAUGGUGAAAAUCUCUUAA